CAGCAGCCGCGGUAAUACGUAGGGUGCGAGCGUUAAUCGGAUUUACUGGGCGUAAAGCGUGCGCAGGCGGCCCGUUAAGACAGGUGUGAAAUCCCUGGGCUCAACCUAGGAAUUGCGCUUGUGACUGGCGGGCUCGAGUACGGUAGAGGGGGGUGGAAUUCCUGGUGUAGCAGUGAAAUGCGUAGAGAUCAGGAGGAACACCGAUGGCGAAGGCAGCCCCCUGGGCCUGUACUGACGCUCAUGCACGAAAGCAUGGGCAGCAAACAGGAUUAGAUACCCUGGUAGUCCACGCCCUAAACGAUGGGUGCUAGCCGUUUGGUGCGCGAUAGCGCUGAGUGGCGAAGCUAACGCGAGAAGUACCCCGCCUGGGGAGUACGGCCGCAAGGUUGAAACUUAAAGGAAUUGGCGGG
This 410-nucleotide ribosomal RNA is filed under the name uncultured microorganism. Its description in RNAcentral is "bacterial SSU rRNA". It matches the Rfam family "Bacterial small subunit ribosomal RNA", at positions 509 to 917 of the family's 1533-position model. The record is from RNAcentral.